This 68-nucleotide transfer RNA is filed under the name Camelus bactrianus (Bactrian camel). It matches the Rfam family "tRNA". Rfam says of the family: Transfer RNA (tRNA) molecules are approximately 80 nucleotides in length. RNAcentral also lists the same sequence under 2 other names. Lineage: Eukaryota; Metazoa; Chordata; Mammalia; Artiodactyla; Camelidae. The record is from Rfam by way of RNAcentral.
GGAGGGAUCAGCAGUAAAGCACAUGCUUAGCGUGCGUGAGGUUCUGGGUUCAAUCCCCAGUACCUCCA